RNAcentral lists this ribosomal RNA (288 nucleotides) under actinobacterium Dagang-12. Its description in RNAcentral is "partial 16S ribosomal RNA". It matches the Rfam family "Bacterial small subunit ribosomal RNA", at positions 223 to 523 of the family's 1533-position model. The record is from RNAcentral. Lineage: Bacteria; Bacillati; Actinomycetota; Actinomycetes.
GGAUGAGCCCGCGGCCUAUCAGCUUGUUGGUGAGGUAACGGCUCACCAAGGCGACGACGGGUAGCCGGCCUGAGAGGGCGACCGGCCACACUGGGACUGAGACACGGCCCAGACUCCUACGGGAGGCAGCAGUGGGGAAUAUUGCACAAUGGGCGCAAGCCUGAUGCAGCGACGCCGCGUGAGGGAUGACGGCCUUCGGGUUGUAAACCUCUUUCAGCAGGGAAGAAGCGCAAGUGACGGUACCUGCAGAAGAAGCGCCGGCUAACUACGUGCCAGCAGCCGCGGCCG